CACACCGCCCGUCACACCAUGGAGUUUGUUGCACCAGAAGCAGGUAGCUUAACCGCAAGGGGGGCGCUUGCCACGGUGUGGCCGAUGACUGGGGUG
This 96-nucleotide ribosomal RNA is filed under the name uncultured bacterium. RNAcentral describes it as "partial 16S ribosomal RNA". It matches the Rfam family "Bacterial small subunit ribosomal RNA", at positions 1386 to 1482 of the family's 1533-position model. The record is from RNAcentral.